UAUUAAAAACUGCAUAUAUUUCUAUUGUUAAAAAUUAGUGCGACUACAUGUGGUGUGUUAUGUAUACCUCAUUUUGAUGUACAAGGAUUAAAUUUUAACAAUAAUAAUGGAUGAAAUUUUCAACA
Non-coding RNA from Gossypium raimondii (Peruvian cotton), 125 nucleotides. Lineage: Eukaryota; Viridiplantae; Streptophyta; Magnoliopsida; Malvales; Malvaceae. The record is from Rfam.